Molecule: long non-coding RNA, 712 nt
Organism: Passer domesticus (house sparrow)
Lineage: Eukaryota; Metazoa; Chordata; Aves; Passeriformes; Passeridae
Exons: 4
Source: RefSeq, a predicted model, not a curated record
GUCACAGGUGGGGACACAUUCAGGGGACACACACCCACCUUGGGCACCCAGUGCAGUGCUGCAACACAAAAAGGCUCUCCUGGUCACCCCUUGGCCUGGAGCAGAGUACAGCUGCUAACAAAGCACAAACACAGUCAGAAGGUUGUCGGGUCUAGUUACCCACGUUACCCUCUGCUUGCAAAGCCAAGGUUUAACCCACAGAACGCUGGGGACGUCUCAGGAACCAGCAAGGUCAAACUCGAGGUCCCUGUGCUCAUCUGGGACACACUGCAGGGCAGGAAAACAGUGGAGGACACCAGCAAGUCCUGAAGACAUCUGGACACCCGUGUCUGAUUGUUCUUCACCCUGGCACCUGUAUCACCUCUGCUCUGACGCAUCUCAUGCCAGCAGGGAAAAGCCAAAGCCUGAGAUCUCAGUGCAGCACAUCCAAGCUUGCUUGCCACAAGCUUCUGCAUUUGGGCUAGUGCUGGAAACCACACAGGAGCAUCAGCUAAUGUGAAACACAACCCACCUUCUCAGCGGGAUGGGGUCUCCAGAGCCCAUCUUCCCAUUCCCCCCUGCCCAGCACCCACUCCCCCUGCCAGGCAAGGCUGUGGUUUGGGAUAGCCAAGCACAUCAGCAGUGGAAGCCAGCAGCAGCAUUAACCAGAGCCCUGCCAGCCAUGCUCCUCCCAGGGAGCUGGGGAGGCUCUGGGAAAGCCCUGCAGAGAGCU